GAUGAAGAACGCAGCGAAAUGCGAUAAGUAGUGUGAAUUGCAGAAUUCAGUGAAUCAUCGAAUCUUUGAACGCACAUUGCGCCCUUUUGUAUUCCAAAGGGCAUGCCUGUUCGAGCGUCAUUUGUACCCUCAAGCUUUGCUUGGUGUUGGGCGUCUUGUCUCUAGCUUUGCUGGAGACUCGCCUUAAAGUAAUUGGCAGCCGGCCUACUGGUUUCGGAGCGCAGCACAAGUCGCACUCUCUUUCAGCAAAGGUCUAGCAUCCAUUAAGCCUUUUUUUCAACUUUUGACCUCGGAUCAGGUAGGGAUACCCGCUGAACUUAAGCAUAUCAAUAAGCGGAGGA
Molecule: unclassified non-coding RNA, 341 nt
Filed under: soil metagenome
Description: partial contains 5.8S ribosomal RNA, internal transcribed spacer 2, and large subunit ribosomal RNA
Rfam family: 5.8S ribosomal RNA (bases 1-120)
Source: RNAcentral